This 253-nucleotide ribosomal RNA is filed under the name uncultured bacterium. Its description in RNAcentral is "partial 16S ribosomal RNA". It matches the Rfam family "Bacterial small subunit ribosomal RNA", at positions 524 to 776 of the family's 1533-position model. The record is from RNAcentral.
UACAGAGGGGGCAAGCGUUGUUCGGAAUUACUGGGCGUAAAGGGCGCGUAGGCGGCCUGCUAAGUCGAACGUGAAAUCCCCGGGCUCAACCCGGGAACUGCGUCCGAUACUGACAGGCUCGAAUCCGGGAGAGGGAUGUGGAAUUCCAGGUGUAGCGGUGAAAUGCGUAGAUAUCUGGAGGAACACCGGUGGCGAAGGCGGCAUCCUGGACCGGUAUUGACGCUGAGGAGCGAAAGCCAGGGGAGCAAACGGG